This 74-nucleotide transfer RNA is filed under the name Candidatus Omnitrophota bacterium. RNAcentral describes it as "tRNA-Thr". It matches the Rfam family "tRNA". Rfam says of the family: Transfer RNA (tRNA) molecules are approximately 80 nucleotides in length. Their secondary structure includes four short double-helical elements and three loops (D, anti-codon, and T loops). The record is from RNAcentral. Lineage: Bacteria; Pseudomonadati; Candidatus Omnitrophota.
GCCGGCAUAGCUCAGCAGGCCAGAGCAGCUCAUUCGUAAUGAGCGGGUCGGGGGUUCAAAUCCCUCUGCCGGCU